UACAGAGGGGGCGAGCGUUGUUCGGAAUUACUGGGCGUAAAGGGCGCGUAGGCGGCCUUCUAAGUCGAACGUGAAAUCCCCGGGCUCGACCCGGGAACUGCGUCCGAUACUGGGAGGCUUGAAUCCGGGAGAGGGAUGUGGAAUUCCAGGUGUAGCGGUGAAAUGCGUAGAUAUCUGGAGGAACACCGGUGGCGAAGGCGGCAUCCUGGACCGGUAUUGACGCUGAGGCGCGAAAGCCAGGGGAGCAAACGGG
This 253-nucleotide ribosomal RNA is filed under the name uncultured bacterium. Its description in RNAcentral is "partial 16S ribosomal RNA". It matches the Rfam family "Bacterial small subunit ribosomal RNA", at positions 524 to 776 of the family's 1533-position model. The record is from RNAcentral.